Molecule: ribosomal RNA, 270 nt
Filed under: uncultured archaeon
Lineage: Archaea
Description: partial 16S ribosomal RNA
Rfam family: Archaeal small subunit ribosomal RNA
Source: RNAcentral
CAGCACCUCAAGUGGUCAGGAUGAUUAUUGGGCCUAAAGCAUCCGUAGCCGGCUCUGUAAGUUUUCGGUUAAAUCUGUAUGCUCAACAUACAGGCUGCCGGGAAUACUGCAGAGCUAGGGAGUGGGAGAGGUAGACGGUACUCGGUAGGAAGGGGUAAAAUCCUUUGAUCUAUUGAUGACCACCUGUGGCGAAGGCGGUCUACCAGAACACGUCCGACGGUGAGGGAUGAAAGCUGAGGGAGCAAACCGGAUUAGAGACCCGAGUAGUCC